ACCUGGCUGGCUCAGUCAGUAGAGCAUGUGACUCUGGAUCUUGGAGUUGUGAGUUCCAGCCCUACGUUGGGUG
This 73-nucleotide transfer RNA is filed under the name Felis catus (domestic cat). It matches the Rfam family "tRNA". Rfam says of the family: Transfer RNA (tRNA) molecules are approximately 80 nucleotides in length. Their secondary structure includes four short double-helical elements and three loops (D, anti-codon, and T loops). Lineage: Eukaryota; Metazoa; Chordata; Mammalia; Carnivora; Felidae. RNAcentral also lists the same sequence under 2 other names. The record is from Rfam by way of RNAcentral.